AGGUGAGAUUGAUUGGUUAGUUUUAGCUCUUUAUUCUUAAGACUUAUUGUCUUAUAUUCAUCCAUCAAUUCAUUAAACGCAUCAUAUAAUUCAUCGAAGGUAAAGUCUAAAUGUGUUUCAGAUAUUACCUCAUUGUCGUAUGCCAUAAAACAUAGGUUGGCCUUUUCUUCUUGUUCCUCAUCCGAUGAUGAUGAUGAUGUAUCGGAGUCCGAUAGGGUGGAGACGAGGACUUUCUUUUUCUUGUACUUGCUGGCCUUCUUGAGCAAAGGACAGUCUGCUCUAAAGUGUCCCGGCUUCUUACAUUCGUAGCAUCCGAU
This 317-nucleotide long non-coding RNA is filed under the name Phoenix dactylifera (date palm). Its description in RNAcentral is "long non-coding RNA (PDAC_LNC014455)". The record is from RNAcentral. Lineage: Eukaryota; Viridiplantae; Streptophyta; Magnoliopsida; Arecales; Arecaceae.